CAGAAAGGUUCUGAGGGUAGAGAAUGAGGGGCAGAUAAUUCGAGUCAGUAAAAAUGUUGGUUUUUACUCUUUAUUGGAUUUUUGAAUCUGUCUCCAUCCCCUCCUGACUUCCGGUUCCUGGCAAUUCUCAGCCUCAGCCCCUGUCUCAGGAAGUUGAAGUAUCAGGAUUCCAGCAGAAAACAGAUGGCCCAUUCAAGGGAGGUAAUUGAUAAGAAUUGGGCCUGUUUACAAAGAAGUAGUCUGGGGUCAAGGAAGCCAAAAAAGAAUUGGUAAGUAGGGGGAGUUUUGCCUACCUUAGAUGGAAGGGACAGCAGAAGAGAUGUUUGUUGUAACACAGCAAACUCAGAG
RNAcentral lists this long non-coding RNA (348 nucleotides) under Felis catus (domestic cat). Its description in RNAcentral is "lncRNA (ENSFCAG00000048512.1)". Lineage: Eukaryota; Metazoa; Chordata; Mammalia; Carnivora; Felidae. The record is from RNAcentral.